Molecule: long non-coding RNA, 145 nt
Organism: Bufo bufo (common toad)
Lineage: Eukaryota; Metazoa; Chordata; Amphibia; Anura; Bufonidae
Exons: 4
Source: RefSeq, a predicted model, not a curated record
AUGCUUGGUCGAAACUCAGAAGUUUUCUUGCCCAAACGUGGAGGAGACCACAGAAGAAAAUUAUUAAAUAGAGAAUCCUUCUGGAUUUUUGCAUUAAAUACACGUCAACCAGAUGGUUUGAAUAAACGUUUGGACCUAAUCCUGC